GGCGGAUGUAGCCAAGUGGACAAGGCAGUG
RNAcentral lists this transfer RNA (30 nucleotides) under Campanula bravensis. Its description in RNAcentral is "partial tRNA-His". RNAcentral also lists the same sequence under 1 other name. Lineage: Eukaryota; Viridiplantae; Streptophyta; Magnoliopsida; Asterales; Campanulaceae. The record is from RNAcentral.